Molecule: ribosomal RNA, 253 nt
Filed under: uncultured bacterium
Lineage: Bacteria
Description: partial 16S ribosomal RNA
Rfam family: Bacterial small subunit ribosomal RNA
Source: RNAcentral
UACAGAGGUGGCAAGCGUUGUUCGGAAUUACUGGGCGUAAAGGGCGCGUAGGCGGCCUUCUAAGUCAGACGUGAAAUCCCCCGGCUUAACCUGGGAACUGCGUCUGAUACUGGGAGGCUUGAGUAUGGGAGAGGGAUGUAGAAUUCCAGGUGUAGCGGUGAAAUGCGUAGAUAUCUGGAGGAAUACCGGUGGCGAAGGCGGCAUCCUGGACCAUUACUGACGCUGAGACGCGAAAGCUAGGGGAGCAAACGGG